This 478-nucleotide ribosomal RNA is filed under the name uncultured bacterium. RNAcentral's name for it is "partial 16S ribosomal RNA". It matches the Rfam family "Bacterial small subunit ribosomal RNA", at positions 28 to 523 of the family's 1533-position model. The record is from RNAcentral.
GACGAACGCUGGCGGCGUGCUUAACACAUGCAAGUCGAACGGUAAGGCCCUUCGGGGUACACGAGUGGCGAACGGGUGAGUAACACGUGGGUGAUCUACCCCGCACUUCGGGAUAAGCCUGGGAAACUGGGUCUAAUACCGGAUAGGACCACUGCCUGCAUGGGUGGUGGUGGAAAGCUUUUGCGGUGUGGGAUGGGCCCGCGGCCUAUCAGCUUGUUGGUGGGGUGAUGGCCUACCAAGGCGACGACGGGUAGCCGGCCUGAGAGGGUGAGGGGCCACACUGGGACUGAGAUACGGCCCAGACUCCUACGGGAGGCAGCAGUGGGGAAUAUUGCACAAUGGGCGCAAGCCUGAUGCAGCGACGCCGCGUGAGGGAUGACGGCCUUCGGGUUGUAAACCUCUUUCAGCACCGACGAAGCGCAAGUGACGGUAGGUGCAGAAGAAGGACCGGCCAACUACGUGCCAGCCGCCGCUGUAA